GAUUUAGCUCAGUGGUAGAGCAUUUGCUUUGCAUGCAGAAAGUCUCAGUUUUGAUCCCUGGCAUCUCCA
Molecule: non-coding RNA, 69 nt
Organism: Podarcis lilfordi (Lilford's wall lizard)
Lineage: Eukaryota; Metazoa; Chordata; Lepidosauria; Squamata; Lacertidae
Source: the annotation of a GenBank genome assembly